AUGUGCUGGAUCCUGCAGCCCACGAUGUUCCUUCUGGGCUGAGCCAGAGUCUUACUGGGACCAACGCUGGUCCUCGGUUUCCUGGAGGAACAACAGGAAGGAAAAACCCAACAAGAUAACAAGAAGUAUUAAACAGGAAGAGGCUCCACCUGGUGGAACAACCAGGAACUACAGCUGAUCUACGAUGCAUUCACUAACAUGCAACCUUGUUCUUCUCCUGAGUUUUGGUGAAAGGAUUUUAUAACAUCCUCACUUGAAAUAAAAAUGUAGAGAACAAGCAGGA
Amphiprion ocellaris (clown anemonefish) is the source of this 283-nucleotide long non-coding RNA. RefSeq lists it as uncharacterized. The record is from RefSeq and is a predicted model, not a curated record. The transcript has 2 exons. Lineage: Eukaryota; Metazoa; Chordata; Actinopteri; Pomacentridae.